GAGGUCUCCGUCCCGGUGCGCGAACAAAGGCCUGUGCACGCAAACAAGAACCGCGCGCUUGCUGAAGGGCCUGGUUUGAGGAGCGCAGCGUGCGCCCCGGCCCCCCGCAGCCGCGCGCCCUCCUCGGGCCCGCUGGGGGCGGCGGGGCCGCGGGCGCCGCUGGCGGGGAGCAAGCCGCGGCCGGCUCAUCUAGACUAUUCUCGGGGAGGGGGUGAGGGGGGAGGGCGGAGACGCAGGGCGCCUCCCGCUCCUCGCCUGUCCCAAGGGGGCGCGAAGGUCACACGGCCCAUCUCCAGGGGAAAGCACCUCCCUGAGGGGUGCGCGCCGGGCACGCAGACGGGACUCGGGAACGCGGCCUCGUGCCCCUUUCCAACGCUCUUUCGCGGCCACCUCUCCGGUGCAAUCCCUCUCGGCGGCCCGCGGAGGCAGGAUAAGUUAAGCGAAGAGGAGAAGGCGAUGGGACCACGGAGAAGACAAAUAGACUCUCCACCGUAAGCCAGAGAACGGCGGCCGCCGCCAGAUGCAAGGAAGCACUUCUCCUCUCGAGCCCUCAGACGGUGGCAGUCCAGCUGCCAUUUUAGCCCAGUGACACUGAUUAUGGAUUUCUGGCCUCCAGGACACAUGGCUCCUGGCUGUCUCUUGAGGGAAGGAAAGCCUUUGCCACCUUGCCAAGCCAUCAGACUCCCACUCUUCCUUCGAGAGAACAGGUGCUGAGAAAAGCACCCCCCUCAUGGGUCUGGAUGAAAUAUGCACACGCCUUGGCCAAAUGCUUACUGAAGCGCAGUGUCAUUAUAUACGACGCUGUAUAUAAUGAUCUGCUUAAAUGUCUGUCUCCCUCACUUGACUUGAGGGCAGGGACUGAUUCUGAUCUAUCUCUGUGCCUCCGGCACCCAGCGCGGUUACAAGAGCUGUUAAAUAAAUGUGAAGUAAAUGAAUGAAAAAGAAAUAAAUGAGUCUCAGAAUUCUAGUCUCAUAAUUCCACACAUAAAAUCGAAGACCCUUGCCUCACAUGACCGCAAAGACGGGAGGUUCUUGGAGAAGAACUUUCUGAGGCUGUUGAUCUUUCUGACUAGCAUCCACCGUUAGUAAUGCACUUUAUGUCGCUGUCCAGUGUGAACACACACACACACACACACACACACACACACCUAGACACACAUACACACGCACAGAAAGUUUCAUGAAACGGCGUUUUUCCUAACUAUGUGGGAUAAACCCAGACAUUUCCUCUUGUCUUCUCUUACGUCGUCUCCUAUCUUUUCCAUUCUUUUGUUUGAUUAAAAAAAUG
Molecule: long non-coding RNA, 1288 nt
Organism: Felis catus (domestic cat)
Lineage: Eukaryota; Metazoa; Chordata; Mammalia; Carnivora; Felidae
Exons: 4
Source: RefSeq, a predicted model, not a curated record